This 257-nucleotide ribosomal RNA is filed under the name uncultured bacterium. Its description in RNAcentral is "partial 16S ribosomal RNA". It matches the Rfam family "Bacterial small subunit ribosomal RNA", at positions 524 to 776 of the family's 1533-position model. The record is from RNAcentral.
UACGUAGGGGGGCAAGCGUUUGUCCGGAAUCAUUGGGCGUAAGAGAGCGCUGUGAGCGGCCCUGUAAGUCCGCUGUGAAAGUCAAGGGCUCAACCCUUGAAUGCCGGUGGAUACUGCAGGGCUAGAGUCCGGAAGAGGCGAGUGGAAUUCCUGGUGUAGCGGUGAAAUGCGCAGAUAUCAGGAGGAACACCGAUGGCGAAGGCAGCUCGCUGGGCCAUUCCUGACGCUGAGACGCGAAAGCUAGGGGAGCGAACAGG